Molecule: long non-coding RNA, 679 nt
Organism: Xyrauchen texanus (razorback sucker)
Lineage: Eukaryota; Metazoa; Chordata; Actinopteri; Cypriniformes; Catostomidae
Exons: 4
Source: RefSeq, a predicted model, not a curated record
UCUUAUUCAAGUUUUCAACUCAGUCAUUCGUUUAAGAUGCAAUCUUGUGUUAUAAGUAUUAGGCUAUCAUGAUUAUACAGUGAGCAAGCUAUAUAAAUAAGUAUUUAAUAUAAUAAAAGUGUAGAGCAACAACCGAGGGUGUAAGGUAAAGGCUGAAUAUUGUAGAUUUAUUACAAUAUGUUGCAUGUUUGAAUUAAAAUACCUGUGGAUAUGCAGGAGCACACACUCUACAAAGGCCUGACUGGAGAUUUGCCUGAUCUAUCCGUCCUUCAGAUGACAGCGGCUCACUUCAAGAGCAGGUGAAGCAAGUUGGGACAAUGUUGAAGACAUUUGCUCGCACUGGGCAAUCGGGUGCAGAUCAAACCCUAAUGCUGCGACGUCUUGGAGUUUGGCGAUGUUGUGCGUAGCAUGGACGACAAAAUGCUAUGCUGCAACGUUUCAGUGCCAAUGUGUCUGUUGGAGAGUUAUCCCUGCCAGGGGAUCUGUUACUCCCCCCUAGACACCCAGGAAGAUUUGGCGUUGCUUGACAACAGUUUGAGGCAGGAUAAAGAGCUCCAGCAACGAUUUCUUCGGUUUUUGGCAAUCAAAUGUGGGAGGGACCUAAAGACAACCGUGUGGCGAAUGCUUCAGAGUAUCUUCUCUAAUCACCUUUCCAUCAAUACAACCUGGACUGGUGUAG